GCAGUCGAACGAAGUAGCAAUACUUAGUGGCAGACGGGUGAGUAACAUGUAGGUAUCUGCCCUUUGGCCUGGAAUAACACGAGGAAACUUGUGCUAAUACCGGAUAAGUCUUUACGGAGAAAGCUUUAUGCACCAUUGGAUGAGCCUGCACUUGAUUAGUUUGUUGGUGGGGUAAUGGCCUACCAAGACUGUGAUCAAUAGCUGAUUUGAGAGGAUGAUCAGCCACAUUGGGACUGAGACACGGCCCAAACUCCUACGGGAGGCAGCAGUGGGGAAUAUUGGACAAUGGGCGCAAGCCUGAUCCAGCAAUACCGCGCGUGUGAAGAAGGCCUUAGGGUUGUAAAGCACUUUUAUGUAGGAAGAAGGUAUGUGUGUUAAUAGCACAUGUAACUGACGGUACUACAAGAAUAAGCACCGGCUAACUCCGUGCCAGCAGCCGCGGUAAUACGGAGGGUGCGAGCGUUAAUUGGAAUUACUGGGCGUAAAGGGUACGUAGGCGGCUUUAUAAGUCAGAUGUGAAAUCCCCGGGCUUAACCUGGGAACUGCAUUUGAAACUGUAUGGCUAGAGUGAGUGAGAGGUUAGUGGAAUUCCAGGCGUAGCGGUGAAAUGCGUAGAGGUCUGGAGGAACAUCAGUGGCGAAGGCGACUAACUGGCACUACACUGACGCUGAGGUACGAAAGCGUAGGGAGCGAACAGGAUUAGAUACCCUGGUAGUCCACGCCCUAAACGAUGAGGACUGGCUGUCAGUGCUAUAGACGCAUUGGUAGCGAAGCUAACGCGUUAAGUUCUCCGCCUGGGGAGUACGGCCGCAAGGCUGAAACUCAAAGGAAUUGACGGGGGCCCGCACAAGCGGUGGAGCAUGUGGUUUAAUUCGA
This 876-nucleotide ribosomal RNA is filed under the name uncultured marine bacterium. RNAcentral's name for it is "bacterial SSU rRNA". It matches the Rfam family "Bacterial small subunit ribosomal RNA", at positions 57 to 954 of the family's 1533-position model. The record is from RNAcentral.